AGUGAACGCUGGCGGUAGGCCUAACACAUGCAAGUCGAACGGCAGCACAGUAAGAGCUUGCUCUUACGGGUGGCGAGUGGCGGACGGGUGAGGAAUACAUCGGAAUCUACUUUUUCGUGGGGGAUAACGUAGGGAAACUUACGCUAAUACCGCAUACGACCUACGGGUGAAAGCAGGGGAUCUUCGGACCUUGCGCGAUUGAAUGAGCCGAUGUCGGAUUAGCCAGUUGGCGGGGUAAAGGCCCACCAAGGCGACGAUCCGUAGCUGGUCUGAGAGGAUGAUCAGCCACACUGGAACUGAGACACGGUCCAGACUCCUACGGGAGGCAGCAGUGGGGAAUAUUGGACAAUGGGCGCAAGCCUGGUCCAGCCAUACCGCGUGGGUGAAGAAGGCCUUCGGGUUGUAAAGCCCUUUUGUUGGGAAAGAAAAGCAGCAGGUUAAUACCCCGCUGUUCUGACGGUACCCAAAGAAUAAGCACCGGCUAACUUCGUG
Molecule: ribosomal RNA, 492 nt
Filed under: uncultured bacterium
Lineage: Bacteria
Description: partial 16S ribosomal RNA
Rfam family: Bacterial small subunit ribosomal RNA
Source: RNAcentral